GUCAACAUACAAUUAGUCAUAAACAUGACUUUACUCUUAUUACUUAAUUAAUCUUGAAUUUUAUUUCAAUAUUUUAUUACUUAUUAUGUUUGAUUUUAAUGUUAACAUACAUAUAAUGCUUUAUCUCAUUUAAUUAAUUUGUCUAAUGAAGCAAUUUAGUAGCUAGUUUUAUUAAGUUUUACAACAUAAAUAUACUAACAUGCAUAAUCAUGUUUUACUUUCCUUAUUAGGACAUUUACUUAAGUUUAGCUUAUUAUGAACAUAUGACUUGCUACUUAUUAACAUAUAAUUUAUGUUUAGCAUGCAAUAUUACAUGAUUUCAAAUAUAAGAAUGAUUAACUAACAAGAAUACGACAAGUUGUAAAUUACCUCUUGAAGUUGCAAGCUUUAGAUUAUCUUGAAUAAGCAAGACUUGAUUUUCUACCUCUCAAAUUUAUGUGAUCUUACUAUGCUCUCUCCUAGAAUUACUUUGGAAUUUAAUGAAGAUUAUUAGCAUAGCUUAAGGGGUUUAUUUAUAAGCAUCCAAGACUUAUGAUAUAAUGGUCAUCACACCACAACCAAUCAAAGUGGUCAACAAGGCCACCAAGCCAUGGUUCACAUAAAGCCACCAACACAUAACAACUCCACUUACAAUUGACCAAUAAGGCCAUGUCCUAUCACUUGUGUCUUGCAACAAAUGUGUUGUAAGGCAAGAGGCCACAUCUCACCUCUUCAAGCUUGACAACACCACAAGCAAACCCUUAGGCCACAUCUCUCCAUCAUAUGCUUGACAACACAUUAAAGCAAGCAAAAGUCAAAUUGAUGACUAACUUCAUAAGGCAAGAAUACUUCCAUACACCAUAUGUAAGUAUUUCAUAAUUCCUAAAUGGCCAAAAAUACCCCUACUUUCUCUACAACAUAAUCGAAUCCUAUUUAGCUUGGUUACUCCAACUAGUUAGUUAACAAUAAUCGUUGACUUUGACUUUUUCGUAUUACUAUCGUAUUAUUCUCGUAUUUUUUAAUAGUGAUUUCCUAGUUAGUUGUACAAAAAAUUUAUAUACUUGUACUUAUAAUGAAACCACACACAUUCAAUCACAUAACCAUAGUUAUCAAGGCGCCAAGUCGAGACAAGGCGACAGCCGGGAGCUCAAACGCUUAGUCAACAAAGCGCCCGACUAGUCGUCCACAAGUCAACAAGUCGUUAACAAUGUAAAUUUUGUACGUAUAAAAUUAUAUAUAUUUAACAUUUAUAUGAAUAUUUAAAUAUUUAUAUUUCUAAUGAUUUAUCAUAUUCAAAAUGCAGGUUAUAGCAUAUCAAAUCACAAGAAGAAGUGGACAAGAUCAAGUCAAAAUGAUAAUUUUACUAUAGUUGUAAUUUUUUGAACUUGUACCAACUUCAAAUUAUAUAAAUGGUGAUACAUUUGUAAUAUUUAGUUUAAUUCAAUAUAAUUCUUAAAUUUAUGUUUAGUUUCUUAAGUUUUAAGAUUGUAUAUACAGAAUAAUUUUAAAUUAUUAUGAUAAAACAAGUAAACAAGCAUUGUUAAGAUAAAAUUAUAAACAUUCAUAUAAUCAUAUCAUAACAUUAGACAACCCUUAAUAAGAUAAAGACAUGUUCACUGUGACAUUUCCAAAAAUAAACAUAAUAUAGAAAUAAAAAUAAAGUCAUACAAAUCUUCAACUCAAAAGUCUCAUUUUUCAGAAUGAAAAGAUCACUUAAACUAUUAAGCAAAAUCAUCUUCUCUCCCAACAAGGGUAUCAUCACUCGAAACAGUAGUUACUCUUCUACCAUAAUCAUCAUUCAUAUCCUCAUCAUCAUUAGGAAGGCCUUCCUCCUCUUCUCCAACAUCAGAAUUAUAGUCAUUCAAAGCUCUUAUCCUCGGUUCCCUCAAAGUCGAAACACCACCACGUUGUGAGUAGACAUGACACGUUCUACAAAGAUUGUGACCCUCAACGGCAUUGGAUGCAUCAGCAGCUCUUUCAACAUUCUCCAAUGUAAGAUCAUCCCCAUGAUGAACUACAUCUUGCUCAGACACUAUCCAGUCAUUACCCCAAUCAAAAUCUUCUAGGACUAAUGGAUCAAAGUUUCUUCCAAGUUCGCGCCUCUUUUGAAAACUAUCAACAAUUCGGCGAUUGUAUUGCACAUACACCGAAUCAUUUAACCGUUGAUGCUCCAACCUAUUUCUCUUCUUCGUAUGAAUCUGAAAUUUUUGUUUAAACAAAUAUUAAGCAAAAGAAUAUAUAAAAUAUUUAUAGAUUUAGUUAUGUACUAAUUAAUAUUAAAUACAACAUAUUUAAUUACUAAAUACUUACAAACUCAAAAGUGCUCCAAUUGUGUUCACAAUCGGAAGAACAACAAAGGCCGAGGAUUCGCUUUGUAAACUUUGUAAGCUCAAUAGCACAACCGCCAAAAGCAUUCCACCAAUUAACAACAUUAGAUGUAAAAAAUUAAAAAAAUUAAAUAUAGUCGUCUAAAUUAUAAAAUUUAAGCAAACUUUAUAAUUAAUUUAAUAUACUCACUAGGAUUUUUUGUCAUUCGUUGCCUAAUCGACAUGUCUGUAGAAAAGUCGUCAUGAGAAGAUUCAUAGACAUCAACUAGGUCACUUAUCAUGUCUGCCAAAGCUUGGUUGGGAACCAUUUUUGCAAGAAUAUCGUUGAAGUUGUUACGUUGUAAACUAAAACAGAUUCUUCAUCUUCUUUCAUGUCAAAAUACUUUCCCGGAUUUAAAAACAAUGCUGGCCCAUAUAACUUUUGCUCUAUUUGGCAUGCCCAUCUCCGUUCAAUAAUGUUGAUCACUUUCUUAUAUAGCCUUUGUUAUUAAAGGCAUCUUUGAUCUUCUUCUUUGCAAAUUUCAUCGCAACAAGAAUCUCAGGCAUAGUUUGCCUCUCAUCCGAAUCCACAAUCCUCAAGACAACAAGUAAUGGUUGUGACGCUCUAAUACAAUCUUCAACGACAUGCCAAAAACUAAACGAAAUAAUUGUAUCAUACACUUUCUUCUCUGCCUCUGUAGUCGACAACUUAGAAUGUGUUCAAUCAUCAUUGAAUAACUGUCUCAAAGCAUCCUUGUGCUUGCACAAGCUUUGAAGGAUCAGAAAAGAUGUAGCAAAUCAGGUGACUCUCGAUCUCACAAGGUCCCUCCCAUUCGUUUUGCUCCUCAUCGCAUCAAGAAGGUGAUCAUGUCAUAAAAAUGAAUGUUUUUAUUUUUCUUGCCCUCCCGAUUGUAGACUUAAACUGCUUCAAAUUGCCUAUGUCCUCUAGCAUAAGGUCUAGGCAAUGGGCUGCACAUGGUGUCCAGAAUAAAGUACGUCUCCUCUGCAUUAAAAUCUGACCAAUUGCCUUAUAUUUGGAGGCAUUGUCUGUCACUACUUGCACAACAUACUCAGAUCAAUCUCUUUGAUCUUCCCAUCAAGCAACUCAGCCAACAUGCUUUCAUCCUGAAAUUGACUAGAAACAUCAACUAAUUCCAUAAAGUAAGUCCUGCAGGACUAUUAGCAAAAAAAAUUAUCAAGUGUUUGCCUCUUCUGUCUAUUCAUCCGUCUGAUAUAAGAGUGCAACCGUAUUGCUUCCAAGAAGUUGUGUUUCUCCUUCAGUUCCUCUGUUUUAGUCUUUGCCUUCGCUAAAAGAGGAACUCUCAACUCGUGAUACGAAGGAGGCUUCAAACCCGGUCUAUAUUGCCCGAUAACCUCUAUCAUCACCUCAAAACUUCUUGAAUUUGCUGCAUUAAAAGGGAUGUCAUUCUAAUAAAAUCAGUUGACAAUGUACAUGUGUACUUUGUCUUUCUCUUCCGAUGACCUUAGACGAUUCUCCAAAGUUGUUUUAGUAGGACCUUUGCGAUGCCUUUUGUCUGCAACUUCUUCAGGAGAUUUCCUAAGAUGAGUUUCAAUUGUCUUUGGUUGUGACUGUGGCUUAAGGAAUUGAUAUACACUUUUCAUCCUUUUAGAUGCAGUCCCAGAACUUGAAAAGCUGCAUUAGAAGGAUUGGAAGGAAUAUUAAAUGACUGAAUUUCUUCUACUUCGUCACUGUCAUCAAAUUGAAUUGGCUUAUUCCUUUUGUUACUCAUUAUAGCUUGAUGCAUCUCGUUCGCAAUUUCUGUUGUAUUUCGAGGACAUUUAGACACAUCACCGUUCCCACCGGUAAGAUGUUUGAAUCUUUUGAUUCCUCUUUGAACCUUUUUUCCACAGAGUAUGCAUUGAACGAGAUUUUUAUCGUUCAAGUAUGGCCAAAAUGUAUAUUUCCACCUCGGAUCCUUAGACUUGGCAUUUCUUUUAGGAUCCUGGAUCAUAACUCUCUACUCCAGAACUUUUCACCAUUUAACUAUCUACAAAAUACAAUUACACAAACAAACAAGAUAUUGUAAUUUGUAAAUUGUAAUAAUAAAACAAGUAAACAUAGAUGGCUAAUGUAAUUUUUUUUACUUACUAAUUACAUUAUUAUAAUUUUAGUAAAUAAGUUAUCAAGUAUAUACUAUUAUAAUGUAUACAUAUGUAGUUUAGGUCAGGAAAUGCUUUAAAUGCAAAUAUCCAUCAUAUUUAAGAACUAAGAUACUACAAAAAUAAACAAUAAACAGAGCUAAUGCAGUCAGAGGCUCAGAGCAUAUAAACAAUAAAUAGGCAGCCACACAAGCAAUAAACAACAGAGCAAAUUCAAAGCAGAGCCAAAGCAUAGCCAGAGCAGAGCCUCCGAUAAAUAAUCACUUUCCAUUGGAAAUGAUUUAUUGAACCACAAGUUUACAACUUUUCAGCCCACCUCUUUUUAAACAAUGUAAUACUCCUGUUUCUUGUGAUUAACAUUGUGUUAUGACCAAUUCAGAAGGAAAAUAAAAAUUAAAAUACAUAUCAUAAAGCACAUCACAUACAUAUUUAUUUUACUCGGUGCAUAUCACAAAGCACAGCACAUACCAUGCUAUAAACUCACCCCUUUUCGUAAAAUUCACUCUCUUUAUACCACAAAACAUAAAAUAUCCAAUUUAUAAUACAUAAUUAUACCCCUUCCUUUUUGGGUUUUCAACUAUGCAGAGUAGAAGAACUGAAGAAGAAGAUUAGAAGAAGAGAAAAACCAAAAAAAAAACAGAAGAAGAGAAGAACAGCAGAAGCAGAGAAGAAGAGAAGCAUACCUGUAAGUCGUCGAAGUUCCGAAGUGAGUCGCCGGAGAAGAAGAUCGACUGGGACUGCUCUUGCCUCUUUUCGUUUCUCCCUCUCUGAUGAACUGAAGUUCCAAAGUUGUGAGGGAUCGAUUAGGUUAAGUCGAACUUUAGGCUUUUUUUUAUCCAAUUCAAUUUCGGGUCUACGGCAAGUCGACCGCUUAUCAAUAUAGUCGUCCAAGUCGCUCGCCAGUCGUCCAAGUCGGUUGCUGAGCGCUCGACUAUCUGCUCUCUCACCAAAUCGCCCUGCCGCCUUGGAAUUUUUUACCGACUUGACGCCUAGUCGUCGCCUCACCUUUCAUUAAAUACAUAGCAAAGACCGUCUUUUGGUCUUUGCCGACUCUAGCUAUGACGAAAGCUUUCUCAAUCUCUUUUAUCCACCCUCGAGCCUCUAUUGGCUCGGUGGUUCCCUUAAAUUCGGAAGGUCCUACACUCUUAAAGUCUUUGAAAGACGUAUUCUCUCUUUAUCAUCUAAAUCUUUGAGAUUUGGAACCUAGGUGCUUUAUUAUAGAAGCGUCUUAACUAUAAAUGUUUGAAUUGAAAAUAUUUUACUAUGUAUCCUAUUUCAUCUUCUUUUCCUUUUAGACAUUGUAAAAAUUUGUUGGUGCUUUCAUACCAUGUAAUAAUCUUAUUAGGUGGAUGAGGCAGCCUUUGAGACAGAUGAAGAGAGAGCUUUAUGGAGCACGUUCUUGUCAUUAAGAAGCAAAAUUCAUCCAGGCAACUUAUCUUCUCUGACAAGUUUCAGGUCUAAGUGCCCAAUUCAUAAUGUGGGUGCAAGAGCAAGAACAUGGAAUGUUGAUCUUAAAUACAGUAAGGAUUCAGAUCACCUAAAUUUGUAUAUAAUUAUAUGUAAACUUAAACAUUGUAUAUUAGUUUUGAAAAAUCUUGUGUUAACAUGGCAGGUAAUUUUUUUUAAUCUGUGAAUUAUAUAAGAAUUGUUAGGGAAAAUAAUAAUGCACUGAAAACAAUAGCAAAUAGAAAUUGAUUGACAAACAAUCACAGAAGACACAAAUUUAAAUUCAUCCAAAGGGAUUACUCCACAGUCCGCGACAGAUCAAUUUACAAUCUCAGAAAAUCUUAGUGUAAGAUUCCCUCCUUAUUCCACUCCAAACCUACCCCUCUCUGCUCUAGGAACAUACCCAUUCACCUUUUUUGGGUAGCUUUACAAUCAGCUCUAGCUCUGAAUUAAAGUUGGAUCAGGCUUCACCAAGUAACAAGAAUAACCCAAGUAAGCAAGUAGCUGCUAAUUCAUUAAUUUAACUAGUUAAGUAAGCUGAUUCGACUACACAUCGAUACAUCUAAUUUGCCUUAAAGAGUGCAUCUGCUACCUUACUACCUUAAAGUGGUGUUGGU
RNAcentral lists this long non-coding RNA (6469 nucleotides) under Panax ginseng (ginseng). RNAcentral's name for it is "long non-coding RNA (PGIN_LNC016755)". Lineage: Eukaryota; Viridiplantae; Streptophyta; Magnoliopsida; Apiales; Araliaceae. The record is from RNAcentral.